AGAGUUUGAUCCUGGCUCAGAACGAACGCUGGCGGCAGGCCUAACACAUGCAAGUCGAGCGCUUCCCUUCGGGGAGGAGCGGCGGACGGGUUAGUAACGCGUGGGAAUAUACCCAAAGGUAGGGAAUAGCCUCUGGAAACGGAGAGUAAUACCCUAUGUGCCCUUCGGGGGAAAGAUUUAUCGCCUUUGGAUUAGCCCGCGUUAGAUUAGAUAGUUGGUGGGGUAAUGGCCUACCAAGUCUACGAUCUAUAGCUGGUUUUAGAGGAUGAUCGGCAACACUGGGACUGAGACACGGCCCAGACUCCUACGGGAGGCAGCAGUGGGGAAUCUUGGACAAUGGGCGCAAGCCUGAUCCAGCCAUGCCGCGUGAGUGAUGAAGGCCUUAGGGUCGUAAAGCUCUUUCGCCAGGGAUGAUAAUGACAGUACCUGGUAAAGAAACCCCGGCUAACUCCGUGCCAGCAGCCGCGGUAAUACGGAGGGGGUUAGCGUUAAUCGGAAUUACUGGGCGUAAAGCGCACGCAGGCGGCUUGUUAAGCUAGAGGUGAAAGCCCCGCGCUCAACGUGGGAACUGCCUUUAGAACUGGCAGGCUAGAGUCUUGGAGAGGGGAGUGGAAUUCCAGGUGUAGCGGUGAAAUGCGUAGAUAUCUGGAGGAACAUCAGUGGCGAAGGCGGCUCCCUGGCCAAAGACUGGCGCUCAUGUGCGAAAGUGUGGGUAGCGAACAGGAUUAGAUACCCUGGUAGUCCACACCGUAAACGCUGUCUACUAGCUGUUUGUGUAUUUAAUACGUGAGUAGCGAAGCUAACGCGCUAAGUAGACCGCCUGGGGAGUACGGCCGCAAGGUUAAAACUCAAAGGAAUUGACGG
Molecule: ribosomal RNA, 864 nt
Filed under: uncultured bacterium
Lineage: Bacteria
Description: bacterial SSU rRNA
Rfam family: Bacterial small subunit ribosomal RNA
Source: RNAcentral